RNAcentral lists this ribosomal RNA (1207 nucleotides) under metagenome. RNAcentral's name for it is "bacterial LSU rRNA". It matches the Rfam family "Bacterial large subunit ribosomal RNA", at positions 1601 to 2818 of the family's 2925-position model. The record is from RNAcentral.
CAUACUUCCAAGAAAAGCUUGCACUGUCAUAGAUAAAAAACGCCUGUACCAUAAUCGACACAGGUGGGUAGGUAGAGUAUACUAAGGGGCGCGAGAUAACUCUCUCUAAGGAACUCGGCAAAAUAACUCCGUAACUUCGGGAGAAGGAGUGCCUUAUUCGUAAGGUUGCAAUAACAAGAUCCAAGCAACUGUUUAUCAAAAACACAGGUCUCCGCUAAGUCGUAAGACGAUGUAUGGGGGCUGACGCCUGCCCAGUGCCAGAAGGUUAAAGAAGUUGGUUAGCAAUUGCGAAGCUGAUAACUGAAGCCCUGGUGAACGGCGGCCGUAACAAUAACGGUCCUAAGGUAGCGAAAUUCCUUGUCGGGUAAGUUCCGACCCGCACGAAAGGCGUAAUGAUUUGGAUACUGUCUCGGAGAGGGGCUCGGUGAAAUAGACUUGUCUGUGAAGAUGCGGACUACCUGCACCAGGACAGAAAGACCCUAUGAAGCUUUACUGUAACUUGAAAUUGAAAUUGGACUUUAUUCGCGCAGUAUAGGUGGGAGGCGUUGAUUAUAAUCUUGUGGGAUUAUUGGAGCCAUCAGUGAGAUACCACUCUUGUAAUGUUAGAUUUCUAACUUUGAAUCAUUAUCUGGUCAAAGAACAGUUUCAGGCGGGCAGUUUGACUGGGGCGGUCGCCUCCUAAACGGUAACGGAGGCGUACAAAGGUUUCCUCUGAACGGUUAGAAAUCGUAUCUAGAGUGUAAAGGCAUAAGGAAGCUUGACUGUGAGACCUACAAGUCGAGCAGGGACGAAAGUCGGUCUUAGUGAUCUGACGGUACUGAGUGGAAAGGCCGUCACUCAACGGAUAAAAGUUACUCUAGGAUAACAGGCUGAUCUCCCCCAAGAGUUCACAUCGACGGGGAGGUUUGGCACCUCGAUGUCGGCUCAUCGCAUCCUGGGGCGGUAGUACGUCCCAAGGGUUGGGCUGUUCGCCCAUGAAAGCGGUACGCGAGCUGGGUUCAGAACGUCGUCAGACAGUUCGGUCCAUAUCCGGUGUAGGCGUUAGAAUAUUGAGAGGAGCCUUCUUUAGUACGAGAGGACCGAGAAGGACAUACCUCUGGUGUACCAGUUAUCGUGCCAACGGUAAACGCUGGGUAGCUAUGUAUGGAGUGGAUAACCGCUGAAAGCAUCUAAGUGGGAAGCCCACCUCAAGAUAAGUAUUCUCAUC